RNAcentral lists this ribosomal RNA (253 nucleotides) under uncultured bacterium. Its description in RNAcentral is "partial 16S ribosomal RNA". It matches the Rfam family "Bacterial small subunit ribosomal RNA", at positions 524 to 776 of the family's 1533-position model. The record is from RNAcentral.
UACGUAGGGGGCUAGCGUUGUCCGGAUUUAUUGGGCGUAAAGAGCGUGUAGGCGGCCCGGUAAGUCCGCUGUGAAAGUCCAGGGCUCAACCCUGGGAUGCCGGUGGAUACUGUCGGGCUCGAGUCCGGAAGAGGAGACUGGAAUUCCCGGUGUAGCGGUGAAAUGUGUGGAGAUCGGGAGGAACACCGGUGGCGAAGGCGGGUCUCUGGGCAUUUCCUGACGCUGAGGCGCGAAAGCGUGGGGAGCAAACGGG